RNAcentral lists this transfer RNA (73 nucleotides) under Siphonobacter sp. BAB-5405. Its description in RNAcentral is "tRNA-Thr". It matches the Rfam family "tRNA". Rfam says of the family: Transfer RNA (tRNA) molecules are approximately 80 nucleotides in length. Their secondary structure includes four short double-helical elements and three loops (D, anti-codon, and T loops). RNAcentral also lists the same sequence under 2 other names. The record is from RNAcentral. Lineage: Bacteria; Pseudomonadati; Bacteroidota; Cytophagia; Cytophagales; Cytophagaceae.
GCCUCCUUAGCUCAGUUGGUAGAGCGACGCAUUCGUAAUGCGUAGGUCGCAAGUUCAAGUCUUGUAGGGGGCU